RNAcentral lists this long non-coding RNA (202 nucleotides) under Carica papaya (papaya). RNAcentral describes it as "long non-coding RNA (CPAP_LNC010413)". Lineage: Eukaryota; Viridiplantae; Streptophyta; Magnoliopsida; Brassicales; Caricaceae. The record is from RNAcentral.
AAUUGAUAGAACAAGACUGUGUUAUCGACAGAUGCUAAGAAGGCACUGAUUUCCCUUCAAAAUCUAAAAAGCCACAUACUCCAUUGUUGAAGCUUGUUUGUGUUGAAACAAAAACAAUGCAUUUGUCAUUUUCAACUGUCAAAGAUACUCGGUACACUCAAAAGUUAUUAUUUUUGUAGACCAUUUAUUUUAUAAUCAUUUU